GGCUCAGGACGAACGCUGGCGGCGUGCUUAACACAUGCAAGUCGAACGAUGAACCUCCUUCGGGAGGGGAUUAGUGGCGAACGGGUGAGUAACACGUGGGCAAUCUGCCCUGCACUCUGGGACAAGCCCUGGAAACGGGGUCUAAUACCGGAUACGAGCCUCCAAGGCAUCUUGGAGGUUGGAAAGCUCCGGCGGUGCAGGAUGAGCCCGCGGCCUAUCAGCUUGUUGGUGAGGUAACGGCUCACCAAGGCGACGACGGGUAGCCGGCCUGAGAGGGCGACCGGCCACACUGGGACUGAGACACGGCCCAGACUCCUACGGGAGGCAGCAGUGGGGAAUAUUGCACAAUGGGCGAAAGCCUGAUGCAGCGACGCCGCGUGAGGGAUGACGGCCUUCGGGUUGUAAACCUCUUUCAGCAGGGAAGAAGCGAGAGUGACGGUACCUGCAGAAGAAGCGCCGGCUAACUACGUGCCAGCAGCCGCGGUAAUACGUAGGGCGCAAGCGUUGUCCGGAAUUAUUGGGCGUAAAGAGCUCGUAGGCGGCUUGUCACGUCGGAUGUGAAAGCCCGGGGCUUAACCCCGGGUCUGCAUUCGAUACGGGCAGGCUAGAGUUCGGUAGGGGAGAUCGGAAUUCCUGGUGUAGCGGUGAAAUGCGCAGAUAUCAGGAGGAACACCGGUGGCGAAGGCGGAUCUCUGGGCCGAUACUGACGCUGAGGAGCG
RNAcentral lists this ribosomal RNA (719 nucleotides) under Streptomyces cinerochromogenes. Its description in RNAcentral is "bacterial SSU rRNA". It matches the Rfam family "Bacterial small subunit ribosomal RNA", at positions 21 to 755 of the family's 1533-position model. Lineage: Bacteria; Bacillati; Actinomycetota; Actinomycetes; Kitasatosporales; Streptomycetaceae. The record is from RNAcentral.